Molecule: ribosomal RNA, 327 nt
Filed under: uncultured Butyricicoccus sp.
Lineage: Bacteria; Bacillati; Bacillota; Clostridia; Eubacteriales; Butyricicoccaceae
Description: bacterial SSU rRNA
Rfam family: Bacterial small subunit ribosomal RNA
Source: RNAcentral
UGGGGAAUAUUGCGGCAAUGGGGGGCAACCCUGACGCAGCAACGCCGCGUGAUUGAAGAAGGUCUUCGGAUUGUAAAAUCUUUUAUCAGGGACGAAGAAGUGACGGUACCUGAUGAAUAAGCUCCGGCUAACUACGUGCCAGCAGCCGCGGUAAUACGUAGGGAGCAAGCGUUAUCCGGAUUUACUGGGUGUAAAGGGCGAGUAGGCGGGUCGGCAAGUUGGGAGUGAAAUGUCGGGGCUUAACCCCGGAACUGCUUCCAAAACUGUUGAUCUUGAGUGAUGGAGAGGCAGGCGGAAUUCCCAGUGUAGCGGUGAAAUGCGUAGAUA